This 107-nucleotide small nucleolar RNA is filed under the name Gossypium arboreum. RNAcentral describes it as "Plant small nucleolar RNA R71". It matches the Rfam family "Plant small nucleolar RNA R71". Rfam says of the family: R71 is a member of the C/D box family of snoRNAs containing the C (UGAUGA) and D (CUGA) box motifs. Lineage: Eukaryota; Viridiplantae; Streptophyta; Magnoliopsida; Malvales; Malvaceae. The record is from Rfam by way of RNAcentral.
AACUCAUGGUGAGGGCACCUUCUCAAUAGAUCUUUGUAUCUCUCUCAUGCAUCAUAGAGUGUUUCUAGAUCCAUCUGGACAAAAGAAGAGAUAUCAUUUCUCAAUUU